GCCUGGGUGGCUCAAUCAGUUGAGCACCUGACUUUGGUUCAGGUCAUGAUUUCAUGGUUCGUGGGUUCGAGCCCCACACUGGGCU
This 85-nucleotide transfer RNA is filed under the name Felis catus (domestic cat). It matches the Rfam family "tRNA". Rfam says of the family: Transfer RNA (tRNA) molecules are approximately 80 nucleotides in length. Their secondary structure includes four short double-helical elements and three loops (D, anti-codon, and T loops). The record is from Rfam by way of RNAcentral. Lineage: Eukaryota; Metazoa; Chordata; Mammalia; Carnivora; Felidae.